Molecule: ribosomal RNA, 261 nt
Filed under: uncultured prokaryote
Description: partial 16S ribosomal RNA
Rfam family: Bacterial small subunit ribosomal RNA
Source: RNAcentral
UACGUAGGGUGCGAGCGUUGUCCGGAAUUAUUGGGCGUAAAGAGCUUGUAGGCGGUUUGUCGCGUCUGCUGUGAAAAUCCGGGGCUCAACCCCGGACUUGCAGUGGGUACGGGCAGACUAGAGUGUGGUAGGGGAGACUGGAAUUCCUGGUGUAGCGGUGAAAUGCGCAGAUAUCAGGAGGAACACCGAUGGCAAAGGCAGGUCUCUGGGCCACUACUGACGCUGAGAAGCGAAAGCAUGGGGAGCGAACAGGAUUAGAUA